CACUGUCCAUCACCGGCGAUGGCAGAGUCCGAGUGAGAAGUUAUAACGGAUCCCUGAGGUUAGAGGGCGCGGCCAGCUGAGGGGACCAAGGCGCAGUGCUUCUGAUUGGUCAGCAUGCUCCGGGGGCGGGACCAGGGCGCCUGGGGCGGGGCUUGAGGGAGCGGAGUGGGUUGCGCACGCGGUUUUAAGAAUCCGCCGUGAGAGCGGGGCCAAGGCUGUGGACAAGGGGCUGCAGCCGGAUAAUCCGGAGAUAGUGGGCGCAGUCUUUGGGGAGCCAGGAUGGCUUUGAGCUGGAUAUCAAGAGUUGCGAUUGGCCAAAGGGUGGGAGGCGUGGCCGGAACCCCGGGAAGCGGGCGGACAGGCUAAGGAGCCCCACGGCUUCAGCCAAGCCCGAGCAGCGCUCUCCAUGGAGCAACAUCUCUGCCUUGACUCUGUUCUCUUCUCCCCGGCUCGGAGACCAACGUGAACAACCCGCUCCCCCAGACGCAGAGCUAGGAACUGGGCACAAAGAGAACUGGAGUCCUUGGGUGGUCAAAGAAAUACUAAAAAGCGAAGACCCA
Ictidomys tridecemlineatus (thirteen-lined ground squirrel) is the source of this 560-nucleotide non-coding RNA. Lineage: Eukaryota; Metazoa; Chordata; Mammalia; Rodentia; Sciuridae. The record is from RefSeq and is a predicted model, not a curated record.